This 63-nucleotide ribosomal RNA is filed under the name Phyllachora sp. RNAcentral's name for it is "partial 18S ribosomal RNA". Lineage: Eukaryota; Fungi; Ascomycota; Sordariomycetes; Phyllachorales; Phyllachoraceae. The record is from RNAcentral.
UUAUCGAGUUGCACAACUCCCGCACCUUGCCAACGCCAGCUCGCUGCUGCUUCGGCGGACCGA